CCUACGGGCGGCUGCAGUGGGGAAUAUUGCACAAUGGGCGCAAGCCUGAUGCAGCCAUGCCGCGUGUGUGAAGAAGGCCUUCGGGUUGUAAAGCACUUUCAGCGGGGAGGAAGGCGGUGAGGUUAAUAACCUCAUCGAUUGACGUUACCCGCAGAAGAAGCACCGGCUAACUCCGUGCCAGCAGCCGCGGUAAUACGGAGGGUGCAAGCGUUAAUCGGAAUUACUGGGCGUAAAGCGCACGCAGGCGGUCUGUCAAGUCGGAUGUGAAAUCCCCGGGCUCAACCUGGGAACUGCAUUCGAAACUGGCAGGCUAGAGUCUUGUAGAGGGGGGUAGAAUUCCAGGUGUAGCGGUGAAGUGCGUAGAGAUCUGGAGGAAUACCGGUGGCGAAGGCGGCCCCCUGGACAAAGACUGACGCUCAGGUGCGAAAGCGUGGGGAGCAAACAGGAUUAGAUACCCGGGUAGUC
This 465-nucleotide ribosomal RNA is filed under the name uncultured Klebsiella sp. RNAcentral's name for it is "bacterial SSU rRNA". It matches the Rfam family "Bacterial small subunit ribosomal RNA", at positions 338 to 795 of the family's 1533-position model. The record is from RNAcentral. Lineage: Bacteria; Pseudomonadati; Pseudomonadota; Gammaproteobacteria; Enterobacterales; Enterobacteriaceae.